GCUUUAUUGCUUUGCCAGGCAAAGGGGGCCAUGGCAGGCUCAUGCCUUCAAGACUGUGCCCCUCCUUGGGAGAGAUUAGGAGGUGGUUUUUUAGUUUGGGGAGUGGAAAAAAAAUAAAUCAGGCUGAAGAUAAGGACGGGGUAGAGGCAAGCUUGCAAGCUUGCAUUGUCUUUCAAAGCUGGAGUUUAGUGACCUCAGGCCUGGUUCUGGUGGUCCUUCUUCCCAGAAUGAAGAAUGAAUGCUUGGUCAAGUAGUUCUCCCUUUUGUUGGGGGUUUUAGUUCUGCAGAAGGAUUCAAAGAUAUUGUUAUGUCUAUUCCUUGAGAAGCCAGGACCCUGCCCCAAGGCUGCACAAUUGUCUCUUGACAGCUCCUCCCAGGUCUCUGCAUCCCCUCCCUUCCCUGAUUAGCCCUUUGGAACUCAGGGAAGUUGGCGGAGGCUGUUUUAUUCCCAAAAGCAAGAAGUGGGAGACCCAGAAAUGCUUGUGUCCAGGAACCCCAAAGCAUCCUGCCCAGUUAUACCAGCACACAGGGGCAUCCAGCUCACACCCUGCCCUGAGGCCCAGGCUUCCUCCCUGUCCACAGCCGGCUCGCUGAGGGAAAAGGGAGACCCCCAGAAGGAGCGGCCACAUCCAGGGGUGGCCACAAAGAGGGAGCUCUCAAGGCCCCUGAUAAGUGACAGAGCUAGGAGCUAGGGCGCAGGCAGAGGGUACGGGGCCUCAGCCAGACUGAAACUGACAGCACCAACAGCCUGAACCUAGCCAGAACCAAGAGUGGGACUCGAACCCAGCCUAAACCCAGAUUGGGACUUGAACCCACAGUUUUAAAUUAAAUUCAUUCACCUGUGUUUGGACUUACUCAGGUCCAGGUUCUUUGUGUCUCAGCACAAAUAAGGAAUUCAGCGAGAGACAAAGUGAUAAGCAAGAAAUAGAUCUAUUAAGAUAGGACGCUUGUGACAUAUGCCAGCAGGCAGGCAAGGAGGCUCUGCCUCCAGGAUCCAGCGGGCUACAGUUUUAUCCUCCAAGGGGUGUGAGGGUUGGAAAAGCCCACCUCUUCCUUUCUGGGAGUAGCAGCUCCUCCUUGGUACCUGGUAAGGUGUGUAUUCAAAUCAGCAGAAGGGUGGUCCUCAAACUCCUGGCUCUGGUGUGAAUCUGAAUGCAGGCCCCAUCCCCUACCCAAUGACCUGAGGCAGUUUUCACACUGCCUCUUGUCAAGCAAGCCCGCCUAGUGCUGAUGGCUUUUUUGAGCAAUUUAUUAACUUACAGUCCUCUCCCAAAGUCCCCUAAGUCUUCCUCUUUAUCUAUGGUCCCUUAUGGGGACUUCUACAACUUCUAAAAAGGAUGCGGGCUUGUCCCUCGAUGGAAAUUUCUCUCUCCCAGCCCAGGGAUUCCAGCGACUCCAGCGACACACAGAACACUUCCCCCAGGAUUUCCACCUCGGGGAUGGGAAGGGCGGGGUUGCAGAAGAGGCCAGCUCCAGACAAGAGUCAAAGGCCAGGAGUCCCCCUUGUGGCUCAGCAGGUUAAGAACCCAACACAGCGUCUGUGAAGAUGUGGGUUCGAUCCCUGGCCUUGCUCAGUGGGCUAAGGAUCCUCAGUGACCUGCGGCAAAGGUCGAAAAUGUGGCUUGGAUCCAGUGUUGCUGUGCCUGUGGUGUAGANNNNNNNNNNNNNNNNNNNNNNNNNNNNNNNNNNNNNNNNNNNNNNNNNNNAAAAAAAAAAAAAAAAAAAAAAAAAAAAAAAGUCAAAGUCCAGAGGCUCCUGGAGAGGUCAUUCAGGCAGGAACUAAGGACACAAGUUUGGACAUCUUCAAAGAGUUGAAAUAACCUUUUCUUCUGGGAAGUUGGGAGGCCCUUGGCCCCCACCCCCACCCCCCACCCCCAGUGCCACAUGGUGCACUUCCACCACAGUCCCUUCCAGCCACAUGGCUCUCUGAUAAGAGCCCUCCAGCAAAACCCCGGCUGUGGCUGCAGGGAAAGGCUGGGAGUUGGGGCUGAGGGGAGCAGCCGGACCUCUGCCCCAGCUUCUCCUUUGAGAGGAGGAGCUUUCUGGCCUCCCCUUUCCCCAGAACACCUGGAGGUUGCUGGGGAAGGAGGAAGAGCCAGCGUGCGGAGUUGGGAGCUCUCAUUGUAGGUCUGUCUCCACCUGCUGAAGGUGACAUGGUUACAGUGGCGGUGCUGCACCUGCCCCCACCUCACCGUGGGAAACUCGUGAGGCUAAAAUCACAUGAUGGGGGGGAGGGCUUUCUGGGUUGGAGGCGUCUGCACUCAGGCAGGGUGCCAUUGAAGUGCCUUCUGUGAUUUUAGAUAGUCGUUCUGUGAAGGCACGAAGUUGUUAGCAACGUUUAUCAUUAAGGUAUUUUGUGUCACUGAACUGCACUCGCAUGUCCCCACCCACCCCCCAGCCGCCGCCCACCCCCAAUAGGAAGCGAUUCCAGAGCAAACACUUGGGGAUUAAGGGUCCUGCCUGAAGGACGAUGGGACUUCCCUUUUCUCUUUCCCCUAAAAGAGGCUCUUGGCCUCUCUCCUCAGUGGCUCCUUCUUAAACCUAGAAAUGAAGGGAAAGGAAAAAAACAUUUCAGCCAGCGAACUUUCAAGGCUCCGUCUCCAGGAUUCUCAAGGGAAUUUAUCACCCAUGCGUAGAGGAGAGACGAAGACUGACCAAAAGGCGAACCAAAGCUACAGUGAGGGACCACCUCACAGCAGUCAGAAUGGCCACCAUCCAAGAGCCUACAAAAAAAACCACUGGAGAAGGUGUGGGUAAAAGGAAACCCUCUUACACUGUUGGUAGGAUGUAAAUUGGUGCAGCCACUAUGGAGAACAGUAUGGAGGUUCCUUAAAAAAUGGAAAGAAUUACCAUUCGACCCAGCAAUCCCAUUCCUAGGCGUAUAUCCAGACAAAACUCCAAUUCAGAAAAGUUACAUGCACCCCAGGGUUCACAGCAGCACUGUUUAGAAUAGCUGAGACAUGCAAGCAACUUAACUGUCCAUCGAUAGGUGAGUGGAUGAAGAGGUGGUAGAUAUAUAUAUACAUGCAAUGGCAUUCUACUCAGCCAUAAAAAAAAAAGGAAAUGAUGCCAUCUGCAGCAACGUGGAUGGGACUAGAGGCUCUCAUCCUGAGUGAAGUCAGUCAGAACAAGAAAGACAAAUAUCAUGUGAUACCCCUCAUAUGUGCAAUCUAAAAACAUAAUACAAAAGAACUUGCAAAACUGAAACCGACUCAAAGACAUAGAAGACGGACUUACGGUUACCAAAGGAGGAAGGAAGAGGGAUAAAAGAUUUUUUUUUUUUUUAAGGCCACGUCUGUGGCAUAUGGGAAUUCUGAAAGGCCAGUAGAAGGACAAUCCCCCUUGUCCGGACUCGGAAGAGGCGACACCCUAAAUCACUCACGAGAAGCGGUCUUGAUGCAAACAGCAAGAGGAUUUUUAUUCCAAGCGCGCUGGGGCCCACAGUCGUAGGCCACGCAGGGGUAGAGGACUGCGGC
This 3476-nucleotide long non-coding RNA is filed under the name Sus scrofa (pig). Its description in RNAcentral is "lncRNA (ENSSSCG00005002493.1)". Lineage: Eukaryota; Metazoa; Chordata; Mammalia; Artiodactyla; Suidae. The record is from RNAcentral.